GACGAACGCUGGCGGCGUGCUUAACACAUGCAAGUCGUACGGUAAGGCCCUUUCGGGGGUACACGAGUGGCGAACGGGUGAGUAACACGUGAGUAACCUGCCCACAACUUUGGGAUAACGCUAGGAAACUGGUGCUAAUACUGGAUAUGUGCUCCUGCUGCAUGGUGGGGGUUGGAAAGCUCCGGCGGUUGUGGAUGGACUCGCGGCCUAUCAGCUUGUUGGUGGGGUAGUGGCCUACCAAGGCGGCGACGGGUAGCCGGCCUGAGAGGGUGACCGGCCACAUUGGGACUGAGAUACGGCCCAGACUCCUACGGGAGGCAGCAGUGGGGAAUAUUGCACAAUGGGCGCAAGCCUGAGGCAGCAACGCCGCGUGCGGGAUGACGGCCUUCGGGUUGUAAACCGCUUUCAGCAGGGACGAAGCUUUUUGUGACGGUACCUGCAGAAGAAGCACCGGCUAACUACGUG
RNAcentral lists this ribosomal RNA (465 nucleotides) under uncultured bacterium. Its description in RNAcentral is "partial 16S ribosomal RNA". It matches the Rfam family "Bacterial small subunit ribosomal RNA", at positions 28 to 507 of the family's 1533-position model. The record is from RNAcentral.